This 1666-nucleotide long non-coding RNA is filed under the name Junco hyemalis (dark-eyed junco). RNAcentral's name for it is "lncRNA (ENSJHYG00000002532.1)". The record is from RNAcentral. Lineage: Eukaryota; Metazoa; Chordata; Aves; Passeriformes; Passerellidae.
CAGCAAUUAUCAACAGCAACCCGAGACUUCUAUAUCAAAACUUGCUUCCAUUUCUAUUCCUUCUUCUGAUUCUACAUUUAAAAACCUUUCUGCCGAGCACACAUAUCUGUGAGACUUUUGUCAAACUUUCAUCCUUCCCAACAUGGAAUUGCUAUGGGAGCUGCACCGGGACGAUGCUGCCGGGCUCGUAAUUGCAGCAGCAGUAACGAGGAGCUGGGGAGAGGGGCUGAUUACCAGGCAGAGAUAAUAAACUAAUGAGAGGAGGGCCGGAGUGAGGCUGAGGAGGGGCUGAGGAAGCUGCAGGUGUCGCACAGGGAGGAAGCUGGGCCAGGAAACGGCCACGGAGAGCUCGGGGAAGAUGAAUGGCACGAACAGAGCACUUAAUGCUGAUAAUAAUUGGAGCUUGAGGGUGUGCUUAGUAUAUGAAUAAAGUAAUUAACCAAUUAAAAAUGCACAGGAGACGCAUGAUGGAAAAUGAUAACCAACAGGAAAAUGAUGGAUGCCCUGCACGGGAGUUCUCAAGGCCGAGCAUUCCCGAUGCUGGCACGUGGAGAGGCACCCGGUGCCCUUUGAUCACUGCCACCCUGCCACCCUGCCACCUGCCAGGGCCAGCGGGUGCCCUCUGAUCUCUGCCACCCUGCCACCUGCCGAGCUGCCCUGGUGGCAAAUUGCCUGGAAUUAAUCCCAGCCCUGCUUGCAGGCUCUGGGAAUGCCACGAGAAUGCCCGAGCAUGUGGCAGAGCCCUGAGGGGCAGCUGCUGUCCAGGGACCAGGAGGAGCAGCCAGCACCGGGUGGCACAUGGGGAAGUCCAGAAUGAGCCAGGGGCCUGAACCUGGUGGUUUUCAUGAUUGGGUUUUCCUUUGUUGGUGCCUUUUUUUAAGGCCACAGACAGCACCAGCCACAAAAAUGAAGAUUUUACUCACUGUCAGUGCCUUAUUUUGAGUAAUUGUUGCAACAGCAACAAUCUGCACCCCCUGAAUUUGUAUUUCUGGUUUUAUGGUCAUAAUUUCCUUUCUUUUCCAGAUCCAGCCCACUGAGAAUUGGUGUGGAGUCAGCCAGGGCUUGUCCUGCUGUACCCUCCAUUCCUGGAAAAACUGGGAAACUCUUAGGAAAGCAGGCCUAAUGCAGGUGCAGCCCUCGUUUCCCAUUGGAUCUGAGCCUGUGGAGCUGCUGGAGCUGAGCUGUGUCCCAGGAGGGCAGCCUGGCAUGCAAGGAGAGCAAAGCUUUCCCCAGAGCUGCCUGCAGGGAGGAGCAGCCAGGCUGUCAUUCCCAGGGGAGCCGGGGAGAGCAUCCACCUUUCCCUUCUCACCCCUUCCUCUGCUCUCUCUCACCCAUCAUCUCCCUGUCCCUCCCUGCAUCUCUCUUUCUUUCUUUCCCUUUUUUCUCCAUGGAGAUGACCAAAUCAGAGACUCCCCCCCCAAUAAAACCUGAAUAAUUUUUAUGAUUUUAUUUCUAAUUAAUCACUUUACCUCUGCCCAGUGGAGCCUGUGGGAUGACCCCAGACCAUGCAGGACUCUAAAAGGACCCUCCACAUCAGCUGAAAAAUGGGAUUCUCCUUGAUUAAAUUCUUGAUUCUCCUUGAAGUCCAUCUGCCACUGCAGAAAACACUUCCCUGCCCUGCCAGUGAAUGAGUUCAGCCCCUGGAAUAAAUGAGUGAGAAUCCACA